This 461-nucleotide ribosomal RNA is filed under the name uncultured bacterium. RNAcentral's name for it is "partial 16S ribosomal RNA". It matches the Rfam family "Bacterial small subunit ribosomal RNA", at positions 355 to 833 of the family's 1533-position model. The record is from RNAcentral.
UGGGGAAUAUUGCACAAUGGGCGAAAGCCUGAUGCAGCAACGCCGCGUGAGUGAUGAAGGUCUUCGGAUUGUAAAGCUCUGUCUUUUGGGACGAUAAUGACGGUACCAAAGGAGGAAGCCACGGCUAACUACGUGCCAGCAGCCGCGGUAAUACGUAGGUGGCGAGCGUUGUCCGGAUUUACUGGGCGUAAAGGGUGCGUAGGCGGAUGUUUAAGUGAGAUGUGAAAUACCCGGGCUUAACUUGGGUGCUGCAUUUCAAACUGGAUAUCUAGAGUGCAGGAGAGGAGAAUGGAAUUCCUAGUGUAGCGGUGAAAUGCGUAGAGAUUAGGAAGAACACCAGUGGCGAAGGCGAUUCUCUGGACUGUAACUGACGCUGAGGCACGAAAGCGUGGGUAGCAAACAGGAUUAGAUACCCUGGUAGUCCACGCCGUAAACGAUGAGUACUAGGUGUAGGAGGUAUC